CGCGUGCACUGGAUCCGGCCGGGCCUUUCCUCCCGGGGAACCGCAUGCCCUUCACUGGGCGUGUCGAGGAACCGGGACGUUUACUUUGAAAAAAUUAGAGUGUUCAAAGCAGGCCUUCGCUCGGAUACAUUAGCAUGGAAUAAUAGAAUAGGACGUUGCGGUUCUAUUUUGUUGGUUUCUCGAACCGCCGUAAUGAUUAAUAGGGACAGUCGGGGAGACUGGUAUUCAAUUGUCAGAGGUGAAAUUCUUGGAUUUAUUGAAGACCAACUACUGCGAAAGCAUUUCUCAAGGAUGUUUUCAUUAAUCAGUGAACGAAAGUUAGGGGGAUCGAAGACGAUCAGAUACCGUCGUAGUCUUAACCAUAAACCGUGCCAACUAGGAAUCGGACGAUGUUAUUUUCUUGACUCGUUCGGCGCCUUACGAGAAAUCAAAGUUUUUGGGUUCUGGUAAGUCACCUUUUUUUCCACCAUCUCACGGGCGCAUUGCUAACUAACAUCCUAGGGGGGGAGUAUGGUCGCAAGGCUGAAACUUAAAGAAAUUGACGGAAGGGCACCACCAGGCGUGGAGCCUGCCGGCUUAAUUUGACUCAACACGGGGAAACUCACCAGGUCCAGACACAAGUAGGAUUGACAGAUUGAGAGCUCUUUCUUGAUUUUGUGGGUGGUGGUGCAUGGCCGUUCUUAGUUCGUGGAGUGAUUUGUCUGCUUGAUUGCGAUAACGAACGAGACCUUACCCUGCUAAAUAGCCCCGCCCGCUUUGGCGGGCGCGCUGGCUUCUUAGAGGGACUAUCGG
RNAcentral lists this ribosomal RNA (792 nucleotides) under uncultured eukaryote. RNAcentral's name for it is "bacterial SSU rRNA". It matches the Rfam family "Eukaryotic small subunit ribosomal RNA", at positions 671 to 1426 of the family's 1831-position model. The record is from RNAcentral.